GACGAACGCUGGCGGCGUGCUUAACACAUGCAAGUCGAGCGGUAAGGCCCUUUCGGGGGUACGACGAGCGGCGAACGGGUGAGUAACACGUGGGUGACCUGCCCUCAGCUCUGGGAUAAGCCUGGGAAACCGGGUCUAAUACCGGAUAUGACUCCAUGACGCAUGUUGUGGGGUGGAAAGCCUUGUGCGGCUGAGGAUGGGCCCGCGGCCUAUCAGCUUGUUGGUGGGGUGGNGGCCUACCAAGGCGACGACGGGUAGCCGGCCUGAGAGGGCGACCGGCCACACUGGGACUGAGACACGGGCCCAGACUCCUACGGGAGGCAGCAGUGGGGAAUCUUGCGCAAUGGGCGAAAGCCUGACGCAGCGACGCCGCGUGAGGGAUGACGGCCU
Molecule: ribosomal RNA, 390 nt
Filed under: uncultured bacterium
Lineage: Bacteria
Description: bacterial SSU rRNA
Rfam family: Bacterial small subunit ribosomal RNA
Source: RNAcentral